RNAcentral lists this ribosomal RNA (253 nucleotides) under uncultured bacterium. RNAcentral's name for it is "partial 16S ribosomal RNA". It matches the Rfam family "Bacterial small subunit ribosomal RNA", at positions 524 to 776 of the family's 1533-position model. The record is from RNAcentral.
UACGGGGGGGGCAAGCGUUGUUCGGAAUUACUGGGCGUAAAGGGCUCGUAGGCGGCCAACUAAGUCCGACGUGAAAUCCCAAGGCUUAACCUUGGAACUGCGUCGGAUACUGGAUGGCUUGAAUUCGGGAGAGGGAUGCAGAAUUCCAGGUGUAGCGGUGAAAUGCGCAGAUAUCGUGAGGAACACCAGAGGCGAAGGCGGCUACCUGGACAAUUGCUGACGCUCAGGCACGAAAGCGUGGGGAGCAAAAGGG